CCACUCUGUCAAGCCCAGGGAAAGGCGUGGGGUCAGAGGAUUUGGCUCUGUCACACCAUUCACUGCCUGCCCUUCUUCCCAGCGCUUCCAAGAUCUGGUUGUAUUAAACACGAGAAUGAAGAGAGGAAAACACCUUCGCCCACGGUGUGCUCUGGGGACAUCUCCAGGUGUGGGUGGUGGCGUCAGCCACAGGACAGCGAUUCUGAUGCAGAACGUCCUCCGGCCACUCUUUUAACAGACACCGGCCUCUGCCUGGGCCAGAACAAGAGGCACCUGACCUGAAAUGUGGUCAAUCUCCAAGCAUGUCUCUUGGCCAGACAUUAAAUGAAAGCCUGUCCCCUGAGCUUUCAACACUAAGUCUGAGUAAAAAUAAAUCUUCACUGAGGCUUGAA
RNAcentral lists this long non-coding RNA (392 nucleotides) under Homo sapiens (human). RNAcentral describes it as "novel transcript". Lineage: Eukaryota; Metazoa; Chordata; Mammalia; Primates; Hominidae. The record is from RNAcentral.